UGCAUUCACUACUGUAAAUCGCUCUGGAUAAAAGCGUCUGCUAAAUGACUAAAA
Salmo salar (Atlantic salmon) is the source of this 54-nucleotide non-coding RNA. Lineage: Eukaryota; Metazoa; Chordata; Actinopteri; Salmoniformes; Salmonidae. The record is from Rfam.